This 265-nucleotide ribosomal RNA is filed under the name uncultured archaeon. RNAcentral's name for it is "partial 16S ribosomal RNA". It matches the Rfam family "Archaeal small subunit ribosomal RNA", at positions 717 to 982 of the family's 1478-position model. The record is from RNAcentral.
ACACGACUACAUUAGAUACCCGGGUAGUCCUAGCCGUAAACGAUACUCGCUAGGUGUCGGCCACGGUGCGACCGUUGUCGGUGCCGUAGGGAAGCCGUGAAGCGAGCCACCUGGGAAGCACGGCCGCAAGGCUGAAACUUAAAGGAAUUGGCGGGGGAGCACAACAACGGGUGGAGCUUGCGGUUUAAUUGGAUUCAACGCCGGAAAUCUUACCGGGACCGACAGCAACAUGAAGGCCAAGCUGAAGACUUUGCCGGAUUAGCUG